ACGCUCGACACCUACGGGAGGCAGCAGUGGGGAAUAUUGCACAAUGGGGGAAACCCUGAUGCAGCGACGCCGCGUGGAGGAAGAAGGUCCUCGGAUUGUAAACUCCUGUUGUUGGGGAAAAAGAGGAUGGUACCCAACAAGGAAGUGACGGCUAACUACGUGUCAGCAGCCGCGGUAAUCUGAGCGGGCUGGCAAGGC
RNAcentral lists this ribosomal RNA (198 nucleotides) under uncultured bacterium. RNAcentral describes it as "partial 16S ribosomal RNA". It matches the Rfam family "Bacterial small subunit ribosomal RNA", at positions 328 to 539 of the family's 1533-position model. The record is from RNAcentral.